Molecule: transfer RNA, 66 nt
Filed under: Camelus bactrianus (Bactrian camel)
Lineage: Eukaryota; Metazoa; Chordata; Mammalia; Artiodactyla; Camelidae
Also listed under: 1 other name
Rfam family: tRNA
About the family: Transfer RNA (tRNA) molecules are approximately 80 nucleotides in length. Their secondary structure includes four short double-helical elements and three loops (D, anti-codon, and T loops).
Source: Rfam by way of RNAcentral
GGUAUAGCUCUUCUGGUAGAGCACGUGCUUAGCAUGCACAAGGUCUUGGGUUCAAUCCCAAGUACC